Molecule: ribosomal RNA, 330 nt
Filed under: uncultured bacterium
Lineage: Bacteria
Description: bacterial SSU rRNA
Rfam family: Bacterial small subunit ribosomal RNA
Source: RNAcentral
UGUGUAGGCGGUUGUUUAAGUUUGGUGUGAAAUCUCCCGGCUCAACUGGGAGGGUGCGCCGAAUACUGAAUGACUAGAGUGCGGGAGAGGAGAGUGGAAUUCCUGGUGUAGCGGUGAAAUGCGUAGAUAUCAGGAGGAACACCGGCGGUGUAGACGGCUCUCUGGACCGUAACUGACGCUGAAACACGAAAGCGUGGGUAGCAAACAGGAUUAGAUACCCUGGUAGUCCACGCCCUAAACGAUGCAUAUUUGGUGUGGGUCAUUCAGUUGAUCCGUGCCGGAGCUAACGCGUUAAAUAUGCCGCCUGGGGAGUACAGUCGCAAGGCUGAA